RNAcentral lists this non-coding RNA (181 nucleotides) under Patulibacter medicamentivorans. The record is from RNAcentral. Lineage: Bacteria; Bacillati; Actinomycetota; Thermoleophilia; Solirubrobacterales; Patulibacteraceae.
UCGGCGGAUCUCGGCUAAGGUCCGCCCCGUCACGGCGUGGGGAACUCCGGUGAGAGACCGGGGCUGACGCGCAGCGGUAUGGGUGACGAGCGGCUCUCAGCGCCACUGGACCUCGGUCCGGGAAGGCGGGCCGCGAGGACGAUCCCGAGCCCGAACAUCCGGCCGUGGCCCGUACAUCCAC